RNAcentral lists this ribosomal RNA (253 nucleotides) under uncultured bacterium. Its description in RNAcentral is "partial 16S ribosomal RNA". It matches the Rfam family "Bacterial small subunit ribosomal RNA", at positions 524 to 776 of the family's 1533-position model. The record is from RNAcentral.
UACGUAGGGUGCGAGCGUUAAUCGGAAUUACUGGGCGUAAAGCGUGCGCAGGCGGUUCGUUAAGACAGGUGUGAAAUCCCCGGGCUCAACCUGGGAAUGGCGCUUGUGACUGGCGGGCUGGAGUACGGCAGAGGGAGGUGGAAUUUCACGUGUAGCAGUGAAAUGCGUAGAGAUGUGGAGGAACACCGAUGGCGAAGGCAGCCUCCUGGGCCAGUACUGACGCUCAUGCUCGAAAGCGUGGGGAGCAAACAGG